This 91-nucleotide transfer RNA is filed under the name Canis lupus familiaris (dog). It matches the Rfam family "tRNA". From Rfam's summary of the family: Transfer RNA (tRNA) molecules are approximately 80 nucleotides in length. The record is from Rfam by way of RNAcentral. RNAcentral also lists the same sequence under 1 other name. Lineage: Eukaryota; Metazoa; Chordata; Mammalia; Carnivora; Canidae.
GCCUAGGUGGCUUAGUUGGUUAAGCAUCAGACUCUUGGUUUCAGCUCAGGUCAUGAUCUUAGGGUCCUGGGGUCAAACCCCAGGUUGGGCU